UACGAAGGGGGCUAGCGUUGCUCGGAAUUACUGGGCGUAAAGGGGGCGUAGGCGGACAGUUUAGUCAGAGGUGAAAGCCCAGGGCUCAACCUUGGAAUUGCCUUUGAUACUGGCUGUCUUGAGUACGGGAGAGGUGUGUGGAACUCCGAGUGUAGAGGUGAAAUUCGUAGAUAUUCGGAAGAACACCAGUGGCGAAGGCGACACACUGGCCCGUUACUGACGCUGAGGCUCGAAAGCGUGGGGAGCAAACAGG
This 253-nucleotide ribosomal RNA is filed under the name uncultured bacterium. Its description in RNAcentral is "partial 16S ribosomal RNA". It matches the Rfam family "Bacterial small subunit ribosomal RNA", at positions 524 to 776 of the family's 1533-position model. The record is from RNAcentral.